Scophthalmus maximus (turbot) is the source of this 118-nucleotide ribosomal RNA. The record is from Ensembl. Lineage: Eukaryota; Metazoa; Chordata; Actinopteri; Pleuronectiformes; Scophthalmidae.
GCUUACGGCCACACAGCCUGGUUCCUCCUGAUCUCGUUUGAUCUCGGAAGCUAAGAUAGGUUGGGCCUGGUUAGUACUUGGAUGGGAGACCGUCUGGGAAUACCAGGUGCUGUAUGCU